CUCUGGGACCAGAUUAGGUUAGAGGAUGCUGAGCACGGCUGAAGUCAGCCAGGGCGAUAGAAAUGGCAUAAGCUGAGUCUCAUCUACCUGCCUGUUGGCAGAACCAGACUUCUACUUAGACGAUGAAGUAGGAAGAGACAGCAGUUUCUUUGGCACAAGUUCCACCCUUCACGAUGCUGACAAAUUAUCCUUCUUAAAAUAACAUCGCAUUGCAUAACUUC
Suricata suricatta (meerkat) is the source of this 221-nucleotide long non-coding RNA. RefSeq lists it as uncharacterized. Lineage: Eukaryota; Metazoa; Chordata; Mammalia; Carnivora; Herpestidae. The record is from RefSeq and is a predicted model, not a curated record. The transcript is spliced from 3 exons.